AUCCUACGGGAGAGCAGUGGGGAAUAUUGCACAAUGGGCGCAAGCCUGAUGCAGCCAUGCCGCGUGUAUGAAGAAGGCCUUCGGGUUGUAAAGUACUUUCAGCAGUGAGGAAGGUGGGUAUGUUAAUAGCAUAUUCAUUUGACGUUAGCUGCAGAAGAAGCACCGGCUAACUCCGUGCCAGCAGCCGCGGUAAUACGGAGGGUGCGAGCGUUAAUCGGAAUUACUGGGCGUAAAGCGCAUGCAGGUGGUUUGUUAAGUCAGAUGUGAAAGCCCGGGGCUCAACCUCGGAAUUGCAUUUGAAACUGGCAAACUAGAGUACUGUAGAGGGGGUAGAAUUUCAGGUGUAGCGGUGAAAUGCGUAGAGAUCUGAAGGAAUACCGGUGGCGAAGGCGGCCCCCUGGACAGAUACUGACACUCAGAUGCGAAAGCGUGGGGAGCAAACAGGAUUAGAUACCCUGGUAG
RNAcentral lists this ribosomal RNA (462 nucleotides) under uncultured bacterium. RNAcentral's name for it is "bacterial SSU rRNA". It matches the Rfam family "Bacterial small subunit ribosomal RNA", at positions 335 to 793 of the family's 1533-position model. The record is from RNAcentral.